AUGGCCCCGGAAGGCAGUGACACCAUGUUCCCUUCCUAAGAACCGUUCAGCUCCUGGGGAAGGAUGAGGGGCUGGCCACCCAGGCACGGCGACUACAGGGCACUCCUCGCCACCUCCUCAGGUUUUGAAGGGUGAAUAAACAUACAAGCCAACAUCCAGCAUGAGGAAGGAUCUGGAAGACCCAUCAUCUGUCAGCCUGCUCAGUUCUCACCCCAGGCCACAGGAGGGAGCACCCAACCCUGCCUGGCCCUUCAUGGUACCUUGGAAUCCAGCACUACACCUAUGUACUGAGCAGAACCAAUCACAAUCCUUUCCCAAGACUGAUGUCAGACUCAGGGGACACACCUCCUUUGCAUGGCCAGGGUUUCUGAGCUGGGAUGUCACUGGUCUGAUGCCAAGAAAGGUCACUUUCCCAACUCCAUGGGGUGGGGUGGGGUCCCGUCAAGUGGGUGACAACAUGGCUGGCACAGCCAGGGAGGCCAAGCGACUUCCUUGAGUCCCUGGUCUCUGCCUGAAGCCAGGACCAACCCCUUGGCUAGUUCCAGCUACACGGGACAAUGAUGUCAAUCUAUUUUCUGCUAGUUGAACUGGUUUCCUGGCACUUGCAGUGGGGAGUCCUUUGUCCUGCCCCAGUAUGAGGAUGGAGGCAGGAGGGGUGGAGGCUACAGAGGAAGUGGGGUGGGCUUGGAGCCUUCUCUUGGUGCCAGCUGCUGUGAAAGCUCAGAACCUCUGCUCAACAGAGAAAGCAACUGGAGAAAGAUGGGUACAACCAGCCAGGGUCCCCAUGGGAAUGUCUAUGAUAGUCCUGGUGCCAAGGGGAAGUCCAGGACAGAGGUGGGACUCACUAGCAGGGAUGCCUGGAGGAAAUGACCUGGGAAAGGUGCUGUGGAAGACCUGCCUUCUUCUUCCUCUUGUUCUUGGGGAGAUGCCAAGGAAACUCUGGGUGUUAAUCUUUUUUUUUAAUGUUUAUUUUUGAUAAAAAGAAAGUAUGAGCAGGGGAGGGCAGAGGGGGGCAGAGGAUCCGAAGUGGGCUCCGCACUGACAGCAGUGAGCCCAAUGUGGGGCUCAAACCCACAAACUGCAAGAUCAUGACUUGAGCCAAAGUCAAAUGCUCAACCAACUGAGCCCACCCAGGUGCCUCUGGGUGCUUAUCUUGAUAAGAAAAAAAACAGAUCCUGCAGCUCCAAGGGGAGAAAAGGCCAUCAAAGCUUGCUCUGUCCAAAGGCCUACUGGUGGACAGUAGGGUGGGCACCCAUUCCAUGGGUGAUGGGAGUGUGGCCAGCUGGGGCCAGGACACCUUGUCCACAGAACAAGCAUGUGAGGAAGAGAAGCGGAACAGUAUGGCAGUAAACACAAAUGUUGGGCACCCUCCCCUAGUCAAGAAGGCAGAGCUUAACAGCCAAAAGGUGGGAACCCAAAUGUCUGUCAGCAGAUAACAAAUUUUUAAAAAGUGGUGUGUCCAUACAACAGAAUGUCAUUCAGCCACAAAAUGGAAUGAAGUACUAAUACAUGCCACCACCUGGAUGUACCCUGAAAACAUCAAGCUGAGUCAAACAAGCUAGAGGCCAAAAGUCACUUAUUACAGAAUUCUUUGUGAUAUGUCCAGAAUAGGGAAAUCCAGAGAUAGAAUGUAGAUUGGCGGCUGCCAGGGGCUGGUAGGAAGAAGAAUGAGUGACUAUUGAUGGGUAUGGGUUUCCUUUUGGGGUGACGAAAAUGUUCUAGAACUAUACAGGUGGUGGUUGCACAACACUAUGAAUGUGCUAAAUGCCACCGAGGUAUUCACUCUAAAAUGGUCUGUUACGUACUAUGUGACUUUCACCUCAAUUAAAAAAAUUUGGGGGAGGGGCACCUGGGUGUCUCAGUUACUUAGGUGUCUGACUCUUGGUUUUGGCUCAGGUCAUGAUCUCAUGGUCUUGAGAUUGAGCCCUGAGUCAGGCUCUGCGCUGACAGUGGGGAGGUUGCUUGGGAUUCUCUCUCUCCCUCUCUGCCCCUCCACUGCAUGUGUGCGUGCACUCUCUCUCUCUCCCAAAAUAAAUAAACAUUAUUAUUAUUUUUUUUAAGGCAGAGCUUAAAAGUUCUGGCAACUCCAGAAAAACCAAGGGGCUGGAAAGCAGUGAGUCAGCGGCAAGGGAGCAGGAGAGAGUCAGAGGCCUCCCACGGCCCCUCCUGUUACAGCCUGGUUAGCACUUGUCCCAGAGCUCUUGUUCGUUGACUUAGAGAAGGCUCACCUCAGCUUAAAAGGCCGGGGCAUGCCUGCUCAGGACAGGGCCUGACAGCUGCCCCAGGGAGAGGAUCCCAGUUUUGGGGAAGAACAAGUCUAGGGUGAGGCACCGGAGGUCAGAGCAAGCAGAAGAGCUGAUACGGCCAGGAGGUCUCAAAGGCACACCUCCCAAGCAAGGGUCUACCCAAGGCUGGUGAUCAGGGAGGGAGGGGACACACUAAGAUUUUGUUGGGGAAAAUGUACUUGUGCAGCCAGAUGACAGCGAGACCUGUAGGAAGUCUGGGGAAGCACAGGUGAGGACAACUGUGGGCUGAAUCAGGGCCCUGGCAAGUGGGGAGGGCCAGGCUGUGGAGGCCACUGGAGCUGGGAAGCCAGGGGUGGGGGGGGAAGGGGGUCGAUUCCUCUGUGUCCUGGUGGAGGGCCCACGUUGAGGGGCAGAAAGACAGGCCAAGCUUGACUUCAGGCUGCAGACAGAAGAGGAGGGACAGAGGAGGAAUGGGCAGAGAGGUAAGAGGGAGACCAGGGAGGCUGAGGCAGCUGGGGCAGAGGGUGAAGGUAGAAGGGUAGGAUCGGGGGGCACCCAGCACAGCCCAUCAGUCCCCUGGUGACUGCAGGAAGCUGGGCCUCCUGAGAUUAGGGAGAGGCAGGGAGGCCUGAGAAGAUGUGGGUCCGGGGAAGGAAAGUGGACAGGAAGGCACACACGGACACACACAUGAACAUGAAAACACAAGAUACAGAUAUGCGCACGGGCACACGCAGACAUAAAAAGCUGCCAUUCCACAGACAAAAGCAGACAUAUAGAAACCAGUACCACAAGUGCUCAGACAUGCACAUACAGUCACAGAUGCACACUCCAGCCACGCCUACGUGGGGCACACGCAGAAAUGGAGCCAGGCACGCAGCUGAUGUUCAUAUGUAAUUGGAUGUACGUUUGGCCAUAGACAGAGGCACAGGUACACACUGGAAUACACUGACAUGGACACAAGUGUGGACAGACAGACACACUUUCUGGCAAAAACAGGCUUAUCUGUAGAGAUGCACACAGAGGUCUGCACUGACCGCAAGUACAGCCCUGUACAUGCACACCCACACAGAAGACACCCAUGCAGCACACACAUCUACAUGGCAUCAUGACCAACCAUUCUACACAAAAGAAGCUCUGUGCACCCCUAUUCGAGGCACCCGUGGCUCUAGAACCCCGACACCAGAGCCCGCCUGGGAAAGUGAGACACAAACCGCGGCCAUUGCGCAACACACCUACUGGGCCCAGCUCAAGGUCAGGGAGGAGCCAGGACCAGUCCUCUCGUGCCUGCCCACGCACUCACUGCCAUCGGCGGCAGACACCAGCCACCGACAACGGCCAGCCACCGACGUAGACAGCUGGGAUUGCAAGGGAUCUUGCAAAAUCAUCCCCAUCCCUCAGGGUUCAGCUAAAGUGUCCCUUCCCCCACGGAACCUCUCCAGGCUGUGGCCACUGUUAGCCUUUUUGAAUUCUGGUUUUUGCCGUGCCCAGCUCUGUGACCUUGGGCAAGUCACUCCACCUCUCGGUGCUUUGUUUCCCCCUACGUAGAGCGGAAGGUAAUGAGAACGUGUGUUGAGUACAUGAGCACAUCCCUUCCCACCUCUUGCACAGAUGGGAGAAGCAGCUUCCCAGUACUCACAGUCAGCUGGCUGUAGAGGGGGCUGCCCUCCUGCCUCCUGCUUGGUUCCUUCCCACCAGAUGGGAUCUUGGGGCCAGGUGGAACAUCGAGAGGGUGUGGGUGUAUUCUCCUUUCUACACAAAACCAAGAAGCCAGCUUUGGAGCAACUUGGCAAUAAGCACGGGACCAUACAGCCCUGCCUGGCAGGGGUAGGGACGACUUUAAACCCUGAGUUUCUGCUCAAAUAACUUCAAAGAGGACUUACAAGAUCAUUUCCUCUGCAUGGGCAUGCAAAAUCAGAAAGGGUGGAAAUGAGCCACUGACUCUCCCCGCCUGAGGUUUCCUCAUCUCCUGUCCCCACCCACCCAAGAGCCCCCCACCUAGGUUCACAUCCUCCCAGCAGAUGUCAGACACUGGGCUGGCAGUCAGAGGGCUAAGAGCACCUUCCUACUCCCCAGGGGACUGUGGGUACGGUUUCCCCAGACACAGGCUACCAUCUUUAUGAGGAUGAGCACUCAGGCUCCGCAGUCUGGGGCCUUGACCCUUGAACUCAGGAAUGGUUGUGCUGAUGUGGACAGGUGGACUGGGGCUCCCAGGGUUGGAAGGACAAAGAUGUGGACUGUGUGGCAGUGAGCACACCCCAGUUCUGAAUGACCCAAGCUGUGCUCAACUCCAGGCCUGGGUUGACCAUACUGACUUCCUUUGUUCUAGAACUCUUCAGGGGCCUGGGUGGGACCAAGAGGUGAUUCUGGGAGCCCCCCACCUCAUCUUGGGACAGCUUAAGGCCUGUCUAUCUAAUGGUACCCAGAGCAUCAGCCACAUGUGAGGUCCAGAGUCAUGUUCCCUCUCAGCUGAGUGUGCCCCAGUCACCUCCCAAGCCCUGUGCCCUGACCCCAGGUGGGUCCUGGUCUUCCUGGCAAUCUCAGAGCAGAUCUCCCCAUUUGUAACCUGCUGAAGGCCAAGCUGACUCAGUGAGCCCCAAGGACUCUAAUGCCCUGGGAGCUAAGCCCCUCCACACAGACUCACACAUAUGUGGCAAAGAGACACACGUGAGCUCUAGGCCUGGGUCCAAGUCAGACUAGCCCACUGGGGCAUGCCGGUGGCCCCCCUACCUGUGGGCAGCAUGCCAAGAACUAACCAAUGCCAGGUUAAGACCUGGUCUGAGGGACUGGGCAAACCCUGAUGCCACCUGGAAAGCCAGGAUGACAGAAACAUCCAAAUCAGCCCAUGACUCACAGGGACUCAUAAGCAGACAGAUGGACAGAGUCCCCAGAGCUGAACAUGGGGCCCAGGAGCUCUCUACCUGCAGGUCAGGAGCCCUAAGGAUUCUGGUGUUAAAGCCCCCACUCAGCCCAAGACAUCCCUUGAACCAGGGCCCAGGGUGGGCCCUCCAGAGAGAAGCCAGAACUCCCCAAUUUCCCCCCAAGUCAAACUACAAAGCAAUGCCACCUUCCCAGGGCCAAGAAGAAUAGGGAUCCUGAAGGAGCUGCCUCCUAGAUCUUGAUACACAUGAGGAAACAGAGGCUGAGGGGAAGGAGAUGGUCUAGGGUCCCCGACCGCUCACUCACCAGGUUGGGCUGUGCUCUCUGCUCCUUGAUCUGUAGCCCCUGGGUCCCAGGGGUAGGGUGGGCACACUGCCAGAGGCCUGGCCCCCGUUCUGGCUUUUCUGGGGAGCCACUGCAACCUCUGAAUACGCCGAAGUCACACCCUUCUUCCUUUCCUGAAUGUGGGCGGGUCUGGGCUGAGGGUACCUGAUAACCUCCCCAGCACAUCUGUAGGGCCCCAUCUGGCCACAGUGGAAACCCAGUCUUGUGGAGCAGGGAGGCAGCCCCUCUGUGACAGGAAACCCGGGCCCACAUGUGCUGAGCCUCUGGCCCAGGAAGGCAGCCUUUGAAGGCACACUGGGUUCCAGGUGGCCUCCAGGCCCCAGUCCUCUCCUUCUGGCCAGGGGAAGCCCAGUGUGUGGACUCCCAGGUCCCCACUCUGGCUGGCCCCCCUCCUACCACUACUCCAGGAGAGCCCUGGUGACAAGAACUAACUGAUUUUUUGGUCAACAGGGACUCCUGUGUGGGACCUCCAGGACUCAGGCAUGGUCUAAAAGCAAGCAGGCAGCAGUCUAGAAGAAAGGUGCUUUUGGGCCCACCUUGGGGUGGCAGGGAAGGCUGGAGGACUUCCAGGUGGGAUGGUCUGGGAAUCUCUAACCAUGUUCAGAACCUUCUGGACUAUUGCAAAACAGCAAGAAAGGAAGAAAGAGCGGGGCGCCUGGGUGGCUCAGUUGGUUAAGCAUCCGACUUCAGCUCAGGUCAUGAUCUCACACUCUGUGAGUUCGAGCCCCAUGUCGGACUCUGUGCUGACAGCUCAGAGCCUGGAGCCUGCUUCAGACUCUGUGUCUCCCCCUCUCUCUGCCCCUCCCCUGCUCAUGCUCUGUCUC
This is a long non-coding RNA of Acinonyx jubatus (cheetah), 6292 nucleotides long. RefSeq lists it as uncharacterized. The record is from RefSeq and is a predicted model, not a curated record. NCBI's taxonomy places the organism in Eukaryota, Metazoa, Chordata, Mammalia, Carnivora, Felidae. The transcript is spliced from 2 exons.